RNAcentral lists this ribosomal RNA (154 nucleotides) under Colletotrichum truncatum. RNAcentral describes it as "5.8S ribosomal RNA". It matches the Rfam family "5.8S ribosomal RNA". Rfam says of the family: 5.8S ribosomal RNA (5.8S rRNA) is a component of the large subunit of the eukaryotic ribosome. It is transcribed by RNA polymerase I as part of the 45S precursor that also contains 18S and 28S rRNA. Lineage: Eukaryota; Fungi; Ascomycota; Sordariomycetes; Glomerellales; Glomerellaceae. RNAcentral also lists the same sequence under 1 other name. The record is from RNAcentral.
AAAACUUUUAACAACGGAUCUCUUGGUUCUGGCAUCGAUGAAGAACGCAGCGAAAUGCGAUAAGUAAUGUGAAUUGCAGAAUUCAGUGAAUCAUCGAAUCUUUGAACGCACAUUGCGCCCGCCAGCAUUCUGGCGGGCAUGCCUGUUCGAGCGU